Cyanistes caeruleus (blue tit) is the source of this 804-nucleotide non-coding RNA. The record is from RefSeq and is a predicted model, not a curated record. NCBI's taxonomy places the organism in Eukaryota, Metazoa, Chordata, Aves, Passeriformes, Paridae.
UCUGUGUUCCAUAAGAAUGCAGGGUCAGGGUGUCUGUCAGAGCUAUGGUGGUCUGUGUGAUGAUGUUUAACAGUGAGAUGCCACUGCUGCCUGGGUUGGUGUUUGCAUCUUUCCUUGUCUACACAAGGCAACCAGUGACUGCAUUUACAGCACCAGUGCCACGCGGUCAACACUGCCUGAAGUGGCAGCUUCUGCUCUGUCCCUGAACAUACAGGUUCCCAGGAACAUCUGACUCCUGCCAGCAUUGAAGUACAAGAAUCAGCAAAGGCCUUAGCUCUGUGUAAGCUCUGCUCAGCAGUAAGGAAAAUAUCUCUAUGUGAUCAACCCUGUGUUCAGCACAAAUCCAAAGCACAGCUCCUCACCAGGCACUGGGAAUACAACGACACCAGGAGUUUUGCUGGUGAAAAGCAACAUAUCAGAGCAAUUCUGACAUGCUGGAGAGCUCAAUGCAAACUCUCAUCCCCCUCUGGACUUUCCACCUCAAUUUCCCUGCCUAUGGAAGUAGCAUGCAUCUGGCUUUGCAAAGCACCCUGUCCUCUCAUCUGGGAAGGGACAUGCUACCAGAAAUGUGCAGGAUUCCCAUCACCUAUACGCCCUCACUCUACCCUGCCCACGUGAGUCUUUGUAACAGCCUGCCUGCUUCCCCAAAUGGUUCAACACCCACCAAUAUUUCAAGUGGAUGUUACCAAGUGAAAUGAACACCAGUUCGCAGUAUCCUGCUUUGUCUGAGGAAACAGAUCCAGGCAUGUGAAGCCAUCUGCUCUUGUAGGGUUGCCAUCCUCAUAUUUCUCUGUACUAUGUGCA